AAAUGUGUGGGCGAUCUGGCUGUGACUUCUGUUACCCUUUGAUUGCCAAGAUUGAUUCAGCUGACCAGGCUGGCUAAGCGAGUGUUUCCUUCUUCCCUCACUGCUCCACGUGUAUCCCUCUUGAGGCUGUGUGCUCCUUUUAAGAGGACCUUCCUCGACAUAGGACCCAUCUUUGGUUAAGAGUAUCUGAGUAGCUGUGCUCACUUGCUAGAACCUCCAAACAGGUGCUCAAGAACUACAUAAUAUAGCUGGGUAUGUUAGCCUAUGCAUGUAAUCCUAAUACUUGGGAGGCUGAGGCAGGAGGAUCACUAGUUUUGAGUCAGCCUAGGCUA
RNAcentral lists this small nuclear RNA (332 nucleotides) under Castor canadensis (American beaver). RNAcentral describes it as "7SK RNA (ENSCCNG00000024924.1)". The stretch from base 1 to 286 matches the Rfam family "7SK RNA". From Rfam's summary of the family: 7SK was discovered as an abundant small nuclear RNA in the mid-70s but a possible function has only recently been suggested. Two independent studies have found that 7SK RNA binds the CDK9/cyclin T complex (known as elongation factor P-TEFb). Lineage: Eukaryota; Metazoa; Chordata; Mammalia; Rodentia; Castoridae. The record is from RNAcentral.